CCUACGGGGUGCAGCAGUGGGGAAUAUUGGGCAAUGGGCGCAAGCCUGACCCAGCAACGCCGCGUGAAGGAAGAAGGCUUUCGGGUUGUAAACUUCUUUUCUCAGGGACGAAGCAAGUGACGGUACCUGAGGACUAAGCCACGGCUAACUACGUGCCAGCAGCCGCGGUAAUACGUAGGUGGCAAGCGUUAUCCGGAUUUACUGGGUGUAAAGGGCGUGUAGGCGGGAAAGCAAGUCAGAUGUGAAAACCAUGGGCUCAACCUGUGGCCUGCAGUGGAAACUGUUUUUCUUGAGUACUGGAGAGGCAGACGGAAUUCCUAGUGGAGCGGUGAAAUGCGUAGAUAUUAGGAGGAACACCAGUGGCGAAGGCGGUCUGCUGGACAGCAACUGACGCUGAGGCGCGAAAGCGUGGGGAGCAAACAGGAUUAGAUACCCUAGUAGUC
RNAcentral lists this ribosomal RNA (443 nucleotides) under uncultured bacterium. RNAcentral's name for it is "partial 16S ribosomal RNA". It matches the Rfam family "Bacterial small subunit ribosomal RNA", at positions 338 to 795 of the family's 1533-position model. The record is from RNAcentral.